CCGGGCCUUCGGGCCCGGGGACAGCGGCGAACGGGUGAGUAACACGUGGGUAAUCUGCCCUCGGUACUGGGAUAGCCCGGGGAAACCCGGAUUAAUACCGGAUGGCCCUUCGAGUCUUCGGGCUCGCAGGAAAAGGUAGCUUCGGCCUCCGACCGAGGAUGAGCUCGCGGCGGAUUAGCUCGUUGGUGGGGUAACGGCCUACCAAGGCGACGAUCCGUAGCUGGUCUGAGAGGACGAUCAGCCACACUGGGACUGAGACACGGCCCAGACUCCUACGGGAGGCAGCAGUGGGGAAUCUUGCGCAAUGGGCGAAAGCCUGACGCAGCGACGCCGCGUGAGGGAAGAAGGCCUUCGGGUUGUAAACCUCUUUCAGGAGGGACGAAGCUACUCGGGUGAAUAGCCCAGAGGGUGACGGUACCUCCAGAAGAAGCCCCGGCUAACUACGUGCCAGCAGCCGCGGUAAUACGUAGGGGGCAAGCGUUGUCCGGAUUUAUUGGGCGUAAAGAGCGUGUAGGCGGCUAGAUAGGUCCGUUGUGAAACCUGGAGGCUCAACCUCCAGCUGUCGAUGGAAACCAUCUGGCUAGAGUCCGGAAGAGGAGAGUGGAAUUCCUGGUGUAGCGGUGAAAUGCGCAGAUAUCAGGAAGAACACCCGUGGCGAAGGCGGCUCUCUGGGACGUGACUGACGCUGAGACGCGAAAGCGUGGGGAGCGAACAGGAUUAGAUACCCUGGUAGUCCACGCCGUAAACGAUGGGUGCUAGGUGUGGGCGGUGUCGACU
RNAcentral lists this ribosomal RNA (777 nucleotides) under uncultured Actinomycetes bacterium. Its description in RNAcentral is "bacterial SSU rRNA". It matches the Rfam family "Bacterial small subunit ribosomal RNA", at positions 72 to 837 of the family's 1533-position model. Lineage: Bacteria; Bacillati; Actinomycetota; Actinomycetes. The record is from RNAcentral.